GGUUCUUGCUUCAGCAGCCCAAGUACCAAAUUGGAUCAAUACAGAGAAGAUGCACUUAGUCCCCGUGUAAGAAAGGCAGGCAAAUUUGUGAAGAUUUCCAUGGAAAA
This 107-nucleotide small nuclear RNA is filed under the name Fukomys damarensis (Damara mole-rat). Lineage: Eukaryota; Metazoa; Chordata; Mammalia; Rodentia; Bathyergidae. The record is from RNAcentral.